RNAcentral lists this ribosomal RNA (460 nucleotides) under uncultured bacterium. RNAcentral's name for it is "partial 16S ribosomal RNA". It matches the Rfam family "Bacterial small subunit ribosomal RNA", at positions 338 to 795 of the family's 1533-position model. The record is from RNAcentral.
CCUACGGGCGGCAGCAGUGAGGAAUAUUGGUCAAUGGACGAGAGUCUGAACCAGCCAAGUAGCGUGAAGGAUGACUGCCCUAUGGGUUGUAAACUUCUUUUAUAAAGGAAUAAAACGAGGCACGUGUGCCUUUUUGCAUGUACUUUAUGAAUAAGGAUCGGCUAACUCCGUGCCAGCAGCCGCAGUAAUACGGAGGAUCCGAGCGUUAUCCGGAUUUAUUGGGUUUAAAGGGAGCGUAGAUGGGUUGUUAAGUCAGUUGUGAAAGGUUGCGGCUCAACCGUAAAAUUGCAAUUGAUACUGGCAGUCUUGAGUACAGUUGAGGUAGGCGGAAUUCGUGGUGUAGCGGUGAAAUGCUUAGAUAUCACGAAGAACCCCGAUUGCGAAGGCAGCUUACUAAACUGUGACUGACAUUGAUGCUCGAAAGUGUGGGUAUCAAACAGGAUUAGAUACCCCUGUAGUC